RNAcentral lists this long non-coding RNA (348 nucleotides) under Amborella trichopoda. RNAcentral's name for it is "long non-coding RNA (ATRI_LNC003942)". Lineage: Eukaryota; Viridiplantae; Streptophyta; Magnoliopsida; Amborellales; Amborellaceae. The record is from RNAcentral.
AAAAAUACUAUGCAGCAAUGUCUUCAUUUAAUCCCCUAUUUAUAACUUCACAUGCUUCUAGAGAGAGAGAGAGAGAGAGAGAGAGGGGGGAUACAUUGAUCAUAUCGCCUCCCCGUAUGUGUUGAAGAGAGAGAAAGGAAAGAAGAGGACUCACAUGCAUUAAUCAUGUUGGGAAACCAAUCCAUAUGUGACCAAUCGAAUAGAAUCUCACAGGACAAAUUUUGCCUUUGUCGAUAAGAGCACGCUAUACCAUUCUCGUGUCUCUGUACCUCUGCAAUUCCAAUUCCCUGUCUUCUAUAUUAAUGGAAACCACUCCAAGGGAUAGAGAGAGAGAGAGGGAAUAUCUGG